UGCCAGACUCCUACGGGAGGCAGCAGUCGAGAAUCAUUCACAAUGGGGGAAACCCUGAUGGUGCGACGCCGCGUGGGGGAAUGAAGGUCUUCGGAUUGUAAACCCCUGUCAUGUGGGAGCAAAUUAAAAAGAUAGUACCACAAGAGGAAGAGACGGCUAACUCCGUGCCAGCAGCCGCGGUAAUACGGAGGAUGCGAGCGUUAUCCGGAUUUAUUGGGUUUAAAGGGUGCGUAGGCGGACUGUUAAGUCAGGGGUAAAAGCCGGGGGCCCACCCCCGGCGAGCCGUUGAAACUGGCUGCCUUGAGAUGUCGAGAGGUAUGCGGAAUGCGCAGUGUAGCGGUGAAAUGCUUAGAUAUUGCGCAGAACUCCGAUUGCGAAGGCAGCAUACCGGCGGCGAUCUGACGCUGAGGCACGAAAGCGUGGGUAUCGAACAGGAUUAGAUACCCUCGUAGA
Molecule: ribosomal RNA, 453 nt
Filed under: uncultured bacterium
Lineage: Bacteria
Description: bacterial SSU rRNA
Rfam family: Bacterial small subunit ribosomal RNA
Source: RNAcentral